GAUUAGAGCGGUGAGUCGCGCUGGUCACACUGCACACCUGCGGGUUGGGAGAUUCUGGAGCCAGAAGGAGAGCCGAAUGGCCUUCGCCCGCCCUGCCCCUCGUCCGCUUCAGAAAUCCCCGGAAACGCCCCGGUCCGCGAUCCGGGCCCGAGCAGCCAGGGGGCCCAAGGGAAGCUGAACGCCGGGUGAGCUACCCGGAUGGCUCUUCCGGUUCUUUGUGCGGCCUUCACCCAGUGAGGGAGCCUGUGCCCCCUGCCCAGUCGCUUUCGGGGCGCUGAGGAGCUUCCGCUGCCAUCUUCGGAUGCUGUGUCCCGCACGGAGGGUCCACCAGGGCAGGGAUAGUGGUGAGGGUCGCUCGUGGAUCCCCUCGCGGGGAGCAGGGUCUGGCACACACCAGGGCGCAGGAUUAGGACUUGUUGAAUGAAUCCAUCGUGGCCUUUAUCUUUUAGUCCUCUGAAGAGCGUUGAGAAUGGAAAUCAUAAGAUAUUUUUUCCAUUAGGAAGUUCUUUUUACAAGGCGUUUAUUCAGGUUGACUUCUCGGCACCCCGCGGGGCGGGCAACGGGCAGGGCCUCCAGUGCACCUUCUGCGCAGUGGAGCCGCGGGGGCCCAGCUGGGCGGUGGUCGGGUCGUGAGGCGGGAGGGCGGGAGCGGGGGAAGGGAAAAGCAAAAGCGGGGAAAGAAGCCGGGGAGCGGUGGACCAGACAUUCAGACCUCCUGAAAGGCUCGUGCGGAGGCAGAGGCGGGAUCUUCCGGAGGUGAGAAUUGUUUUGUUAUUGUAGCAGAAUGGGGAGGAAUUGAGGGGAAAAUGGAGAUAGAACCUGAAAGAGCCCCAAACGCGAGAACGUGUAGCUCCCCAAGUGUAAGAUCUCACAGAAGAACUAGACUGAAAACUAGGCGUCUGGGAAGCCUGAAAUCCUUGGAGGAGUGGCAUCAUCAUGACCCUCUGUGUUCUCACUUAUAAGUGGGAGCUGAAUGAUGAGAAUACAUGGACAGAUAGAGUGGGGGUGGGGACAACACACACUCGAGCCUGCCAGAGGGUAGGGCUGGGAAGAGGGAGAGCAUCAGAAAGAGGAGCUAAUGGAUGCUGGGAUUAGUACCUGGGUGGUGGGAUGAUCUGUGCAGCAAACCACCAUGGCACAGGUUUAUCUAUGGAACAAACCUGCACAUCCUGCACGUGUACCCCUGAAAUUAAAGUAAAAAUUGGAAAUAAAACAUUUAAAAAGAAAAGAAAACAAACAACAACAACAAAAAAGAGUGGUGCAAAUCUGUACCAGGCUUAUUGUAAACAAAAGAAUGAGAAUGAAAACAUGGAUAUCAGACAAAGGGAAAUGGCAAAAGAACGCUUUACAUUAGCUAGAGGAGUAAUAUCCUAGCAUCUAACUAGAAUAGAAUGGAAUCGAAUGGAAUUGUUUUUCCCUGAACUGGCCUCCUUGGGUGGCCGACGAGGGCGAGGUGAAGGGAAGACAUCUUGGAGUGAAAUGUCCGUUUCUUCGCUCUUGUUUUGGUCUCUGUAAGGCAUAAGAAGUUAAAAGCAAGAUCUGAUCCCUGGCAUUUUCCAGGAAUUUGAAAUAGGUACAUGAGGAGAGAAGCUCAAUUAUUACCCAGGUCUCUGGGACUAUCCCAGGCACAAUCCCAAGAGUCCAGCUUUCCAAACCAGGGUCCCUGGGUUCUGAAGGCCUUUUUGGGGAAAGUACUGAUGUUCGUGUCAAGGUUGGGAGGAAGGGUUUGGAAGGCCCCAGGCGAUGGGAAGGCAAAGAGAAGGUAUCAAGAAGCAAGGCAAGAACUUUCCACAGGUUCACGUUGGAUACAGCACCGGAGACAAGAAACUGAGUGAAUUUCUGGUGUUUUCUUACAGAGGUUUGUUAUCCAGUUGUACAGAGUCUAUUUCAGAAUAAGUCUUUUUCAAAUCAGCUCUUUUAAUGUGAAGCCAUAACUUUCUGGUGUUGCCUGAUGCAAAUCUCUAAUGUGAGCCUUUGCCCUGGGUGUCCUUUUUGUUAAUUACAUGUUCCAAAGAGAACACGGUAAAAAUCUUGACUCCUCUUCCCAUCUCCCGAUCUUACCUUUUUCCAUGUAAAGGCCGCAGUUUUUGCUAGCAGGAGGCGUCAGUGGUUUUAGUGGUGGAAUUCCUGCCUCCCAUGCACGAGAUCCGUGUUCAACUCCUGGUUGGUGCAGCGUGCAGUUUCCGCACAAUGCGGUUUUUACAUUUAUUUACCAUAACUGUGUAUACUCAGGCAGGUCACAGCCGCAAUAAUAAACAGAAGGAAAAGGGAACUACUGUAUAGCUUUCCAGUUCCUUCUGGAGUGGAAUUUCUCUAAGCAAGGACUUCGCAGAGACUGUCUUUGAAGCAGCUAGUGUGUCUGGUUGGUCUCUGCGUUUGCAUAUUUGGCCCUAAAACCGACGGGACGUUUAUUGUCUCUUCUGGCGGAUCCCUGAAAUACACAGUCACCUGGACACUGAUUUCACUGACUGGACCUUGGACAGACCACGUAUCGCGGUGGAGUGAGGCUCAAGAAAGGAGAGAAGCUGUGGGGUCGGACAGACACACGCAGUGGGGAAGGGGCAGUGGGUACGGGGGCCCAGGGACAGGGGAGGCGUGUGGGAAGGAACCCGCACGCAGAUGAGGGGAGCUGCAGAGAGGGACCUCGGAUCUUCCUGUCGAGGAAGGCCCAGUCUUUGGUGGUAUCGGCAAAAUGAAGGAUGGGCCCCAAGUGGAGAGCAGCACGUCCCCAAAACUCAUUUCGAUUACCCCUGUUUUAUACUCCACCAAGCAAAUCUUCUAUCUAGGGGAUUCUUUGUAAUACGUCUCUUUAAGCAUCGUGCUGGAGAGGCCAUGACAAUCAUUACCUCUGGAGAUUUGCGGAGGAAAGCUGGAAAAGGAAAGCCCCGGGAUCAUCUGGUUUGUCCUCCCCUGUUUUCAUCUACUCUUUUCCUCAGGGAAGCUUAUAUUGUGUCCAGGAGUCGCAUCGCAGCUGCGUCACUGGUGGAUUAAGAUCCG
Molecule: long non-coding RNA, 2997 nt
Filed under: Homo sapiens (human)
Lineage: Eukaryota; Metazoa; Chordata; Mammalia; Primates; Hominidae
Description: non-protein coding lnc-NBPF11-1:28
Source: RNAcentral